Molecule: long non-coding RNA, 1872 nt
Organism: Papaver somniferum (opium poppy)
Lineage: Eukaryota; Viridiplantae; Streptophyta; Magnoliopsida; Ranunculales; Papaveraceae
Exons: 12
Source: RefSeq, a predicted model, not a curated record
AAAGCUCUGAUGCCAUUAAAAGUCUACUUCUAUUGAAAGCUCUACUGCUAGUAAAACUCGACGAAGUACAGUUUCAUACUUGUCACUACUAUCCUCAGUAAUAGAAAUCAGUGAAGAUGCUUUGGUUAGAUGCUAUUCUUCCAUUAGGAAUUAUCGAUUUGGGUUUGAUGUUGAAGUUGUUUCUUACAAGUUUUCUUAUUUUCUUCAUGUCCGGGAAGGAGAGAAAGAGAUUCUUAACUGUAAAAGAGAUUAGAGGAUCAGAGUAAGAGAUACAAAAGAAGGUGCUAUUAGAGAAAGCUAAGGAAUUUGAGUGAUUCCAGAUUCGGGUGAUAUCCAACUGAGUGUGGACGUCUAUUCUUCUACAAAUUUCAUGCUUGCGAACUAUAGUUAUGAGGCAGUGGGGAAUGUUGAUUCAUUUAUUCUUCUGAAUCAUCGGCUGGGGUUAUGAGAAAGUAGAGUCGUUAACGUUUAGGACGAAAAGGAUCAUGAUCAAAUAGGAAAGAAAGUUCGUGUAAUGCUAAGAAAGUUGAAGCCAAAGAAAGAAGUCACUGCAACUAAACGUAUAAAUUACCAGUUUUCGUAGCCCCAGCUGAGCCAAGUUGGUGUUGCUGUAACUACCAACUAACGGAACAAAUCACUUGCUCUGGGUGUGGUGGAUCCGCAGUUUCUUCCUCCUUGUGAUGUUGUUCUGCUAUGUGAAGAAUGUUAAUCUCUAAUAAAAAGUCAUGAUAAAUUACAACUUCUCAGUAAUGGGAGGGAAUAACUUAAAUACAACUCUAAAGAUUGUAGGUAUUGGAUAUAACACAAGCGGCCAUAUCUUGAGAAGUGUGCAAGUUGAAUGUCACAGGCUUAGCUGUCAAAACAAGCAUGUAUGUAAGUCUACCCUUUUGUGAACUUCUUAGUAAUUGGACUCCCUCUCAUGACAUGAACUACAGUCUCGCAAGGUUUAAUAUGUUAACUCCUUCUCAUCUUUCUCAUCUAAUCUCAAAAGUAUUCCUAUAGAUAGUACAUGUUUGAUAUCCAUUUUAAGCAAGGACUGGAGCUUAUGUUGUACUUGGCUACAUAAUUCAUUAUGCCAUGCUAGUGCUUUAAAAGGUUUGUUGUUUAUCUGAAUUAGUUGCAUAGUAAAAGAUAUUAGAGAACGAUAUGGUAUACACUUGGUUAAGUUGUGUUCCUUUCUGAAUCACAUAACUGAACACUUGAUGAAAUUAUUGCAUCAACAUGCAGGACUUGUACUUGAGCAGAUUAGAACCACGCCCUCCAAGUGACGCUAAUUACUUCCAUGAUGUGUGCAAUUGGCAUUAGCACAUCUCAGGCACCAUCGAGGUACAUCAAUUGUUAUCAGAUUGUUUCAUCAAACAACAUGCACGUUGAGAAGCAGUUCCAGAAGUUGUAUGUAGAAGUCAACUUUUACUCGUGAUAAUUUGGUUUGGUUCAACCUAUGGUUCUUCAUCUUCUAAAUUUUAUUCUAUUCCAGGCUGUAGCUGAGAGUUUACUGUAAUGGAGGGGGUCUGUGGUACCAGUGAUUGGAGUUUGAAGAAUAUCGCCGAGAUGAUUAGUUCAGUUCUGGAAACAGACUAGCUCAACUACUGAGCUUCACUCAUCAGAAAUCCCAACACUUACUCGAGUCGCAUUGGUCUCUAGUAUCUUUCAGGUUCUUCAUCAUCUUGGUCGUAUUUACAAGACGAGAGUUCAGCAUCCUCGUGUGAUCAUCCUCUCAAAGCCACAAUAAUCUGUUUCAUUCUGAUUACUCACUGUAAGAGAUUGUAACAUUCUGUUUCUAUAUGCAAUCUUUAGAAGCUAAAACAAACAUAGUUGCACCAGCACAAUGUAAGAAACAAGAACAUUUUUACAUAUGCAAUUCAAUCUUUC